Molecule: long non-coding RNA, 724 nt
Organism: Odocoileus virginianus texanus
Lineage: Eukaryota; Metazoa; Chordata; Mammalia; Artiodactyla; Cervidae
Source: RefSeq, a predicted model, not a curated record
GCUUAGCGGAGUGCCCCUCUUACGUCACAACGCGUAACUCUUGAAGUCUUGAGGGGAAGUGCCGCUCCAGCAGCGAGCGUAAGUGCACGCCUGCGCGACAGCUCUAGGCGAUGGGUACGUGGACAGCCUAUGAGGAGACCGGGAAACUAGAGUAGGGAGUUUAGAGAGCAAAAGGGAAGGCUCGUACCCUUUCCUCCCCUCUCUGCUGGCCAAUAAGGAGCUGAAGCGACUGGUGGGGAGCUUGAGGGCGGGAGCGCGAAGGCGUGCCAAGUGUUACGUCACUGGAAAGAGGUGGAGCAACAAGCCGUGUGAUUGAUGGCUGAAGUCGCCCCGAGGAGGAAGGCGAGGAAAUGAGCUUGUCCAAUGGGAGAGAGAUGCUGGACUCUUGGGCGGGCUUUGGAGCCUCUCUGGCCCUAAGCCGCGCACUUGGAAGUUACCGGAUAAAUUUACAGCUCUCUGAAGGUUCUGGCAGCGCAGUUCCUGAGAGCUGUUUUAGCGCGAGUUCGGACUGUCUGCCGGAGACCUUGAACUGCUUCUACAGGACGAGUAUGAAUUCGCUGAUCAGAAGUUUGUAGAUUUGAGGACUGGCCGUUUACUCUUACUAGGAUAUCUUACAGGUUCCAUCCAGAUUUUAAACUUCUUAAAGACCGGAAAUGCUGGUCAUCUUAGUUUUUUGUCCGGUGCUUUCUGUAUAAUGAUGCCUAAUAAAAACAAGUGAACUGCA